AUCCAGUGUAGUAUUUUAAAAGCUGUCUAAAUUCUGAAGGGGAUUACAAUGAAACUAAAAGUGUUUGUAUCACUGAUCGCGCUAGCUACACUAAAUCAUUCGAUUAAUGGCUAUAAUAAAAGAAAGUGUAGUGCUUCAAUCCCCAUUGAUCGCAAGUGUGGGCAAAGAAUUCGUAUAGCUUGGACCUAUAACUUGGGAGUUUGCUGGCAGUUUUCUUACACUGGAUGUUUAAUAAACAAAAGAAACAUGUAUAACUCACUAGCCCAAUGCGAGAAGACUUGCAGCAGGCGAUCUCAUUCAUAAGGAUUUAGACACAAAAAAUAUAUAAAAUUUUAUUACGGAGUAGAGAAAAUUAAUCACAAAUGUAUAUCAAAUAAAUUAUUUUAGGGCUCA
Molecule: long non-coding RNA, 393 nt
Organism: Drosophila subpulchrella
Lineage: Eukaryota; Metazoa; Arthropoda; Insecta; Diptera; Drosophilidae
Exons: 2
Source: RefSeq, a predicted model, not a curated record